Non-coding RNA from Miniopterus natalensis, 237 nucleotides. The record is from RefSeq and is a predicted model, not a curated record. NCBI's taxonomy places the organism in Eukaryota, Metazoa, Chordata, Mammalia, Chiroptera, Miniopteridae.
UCCCGGCCAUCUUGCUGCAACAAACGAAUAAGAUCCUUGAGGGCAGGAAUUCCACUAGAUUUACAGCCAGCAUCAAGGAUGUCGCCUGGGUAGGCAAUGCGUAUUGGUGGAAUGAAUGCACCACUUUGAUUCUGCUGCCUAGCACGGAAUACAGUGCUCUCGUGAUGAUCUGAGCAAGGCCCAAGGCUGCAAAGCUCUUCCCUUUUUCUCCCUUUACCUUCUUGGCUUUGGGAGAUU